RNAcentral lists this ribosomal RNA (301 nucleotides) under uncultured bacterium. RNAcentral describes it as "partial 16S ribosomal RNA". It matches the Rfam family "Bacterial small subunit ribosomal RNA", at positions 509 to 807 of the family's 1533-position model. The record is from RNAcentral.
CAGUCGCCGCGGUAAUACGUAGGGUGCAAGCGUUAAUCGGAAUUACUGGGCGUAAAGCGUGCGCAGGCGGUUAUAUAAGACAGAUGUGAAAUCCCCGGGCUCAACCUGGGAACUGCAUUUGUGACUGUAUAGCUAGAGUACGGCAGAGGGGGAUGGAAUUCCGCGUGUAGCAGUGAAAUGCGUAGAUAUGCGGAGGAACACCGAUGGCGAAGGCAAUCCCCUGGGCCUGUACUGACGCUCAUGCACGAAAGCGUGGGGAACAAACAGGAUUAGAUACCCCAGUAGUCCCUGUCUCUUAUAC